This is a long non-coding RNA of Helianthus annuus (common sunflower), 1242 nucleotides long. RefSeq lists it as uncharacterized. The transcript is spliced from 4 exons. The record is from RefSeq and is a predicted model, not a curated record. NCBI's taxonomy places the organism in Eukaryota, Viridiplantae, Streptophyta, Magnoliopsida, Asterales, Asteraceae.
AAAAUAUGACGGCAGAUUUCAAUUUCAUUGGGCCUUUAGGGUGGUUAACUAUGAACACAAUCAUGAGAUUAGGUGAGCAGCAGGUUUACUUCAUUCGAAGCCAAAAGAAGAAACGAAUCGUCAAAUACUCAGGGCGCCAAUGGGCUCUAAUCAGUUUAAAUUCAUGGAUUGGGAGAAGUAUCUAUAUAUACUGCAGUUAGGGUUCUUGAUGGUUUCAUCUCAGCUCUUCCAAUCGGCCAUUCGCCUAACAUCAACAGAGCUCAUAAGCUUGCAGGUUCCAAUUUUCUAAUUGAAAAUGAAGAAAAAGCCAAAAAGUCAAGUCUAUUCCAAUAUCGACUGUUGCUUCGGAAGCUUGUUUUAGUGUUAGUGGAAGAAUUAUUGAUCAAUAUCGUAGCUCAUUGACACCACAAAUUGUUGAAUUGUUGAUAUGUAGUCGAGAUUGGCUUUUUGGAGAUUCGGGAUUGCAAACAAAAGAAAAAGAAGCAAUGGAUACUAUUAUUGGAGAUGUCAUUUCUCAAUACAGUGGGGGUCAUGAAGAUGAAAUGGAAUAUGAAGAAUGAAAAUGAGCAGAUAUUUAUCAGUUGAUGUUUUGUUGAAAUUUCUUUUUUAUAGACAAUUUGUUAUCUUUUGGUACUGGUUUAAAUGGAAUUACUGGUGAAUGUGUUUUGUGGUGAUUUAUUAUAUUGAUGUUAUAUUAUAUUUUUACCUUUUUAGUAUAGUUUUAAAACUUUAGAGCAGAUUACUUAAUAAUAGUUUAAUGUUCGGGUCAAACGGGUUAGGUUCAGGUUAACCCACAAAUAAUCGAGUCGUGUUCGGGUUGGUGUGUUAACACAUUUUUCGGGUUCGGGUCGUGUUCGGGUUUGAGUAAAUUUUUCGGGUUCAGGUCGGGUUGAACCCGCCAACCUGAGAACCCGACCCGUUAAGCACCCCUACCUGUGACCAAUGUUGGAAAAAAUCAAUACAUAAGUUAUAUUGAGCAAUAUAAAGGAGGAACAACUCAAACAUAUCUGAAAAGUGAGACCUCGACCAAUGUAAAGCAUAAUCCCUCAACAGUGUAUAUUGUUCUGCAAAGUCCCCUUCUACAUGCUUCUUGGCUAUGCAUUUAGCUCUAUAUGCCUUCAUCCUUGAAAUUCCAACAGAAAACUUCCUUUGAAACUGUUCUUGUACAGCCUUAAUAGGGAUUUCUGGGUUCUCUUCAAUCUGCUCUAGCAUCUCCUGUGACAAGAACUUUGAAGUACACGC